RNAcentral lists this ribosomal RNA (84 nucleotides) under Crataegus castlegarensis. Its description in RNAcentral is "partial 5.8S ribosomal RNA". It matches the Rfam family "5.8S ribosomal RNA", at positions 73 to 154 of the family's 154-position model. From Rfam's summary of the family: 5.8S ribosomal RNA (5.8S rRNA) is a component of the large subunit of the eukaryotic ribosome. The record is from RNAcentral. Lineage: Eukaryota; Viridiplantae; Streptophyta; Magnoliopsida; Rosales; Rosaceae.
UGCAGAAUCCCGUGAACCAUCGAGUCUUUGAACGCAAGUUGCGCCCGAAGCCGCUAGGCCGAGGGCACGCCUGCCUGGGCGCCA